GUCCUUCUUCCACCGCCGUAAAUGGGCCAUUAGGAACACCAUUUUGGGGUUUCCUCCGCCUAAGAGAAAUCCCUUCAACGUUUGGAUAAGAGGGUCGUACAAAUGGUCAUGGUACACAACAUCGGAAGCCAAUAUAAGGUCGAAGUCUUGCUCAAUUAGCUCGGGGUCAAUGGCCUCUCCCCAAUGAAGCGGCGCCACCUGAACGCAACCGCCGUUCGCCG
Molecule: unclassified non-coding RNA, 221 nt
Filed under: Hevea brasiliensis (rubber tree)
Lineage: Eukaryota; Viridiplantae; Streptophyta; Magnoliopsida; Malpighiales; Euphorbiaceae
Source: RNAcentral